GAUCCCGAACCCUUCUCCCAACUCCUCAUCUCACGCGGCCUUCUCCAUCCAACUCCUCGGCAAACCCCUCUCUGGCACUGCUUCUUAAGAUCAAGGACAGGGGGAUGGUGGUGAAGGAUUGGGUAGAGCAGGCGGAGAUCCUGCGGCACUGGGCGGUGGGAGGCUUUGUGAGCCACUGCGGCUGGAACUCAGUGACGGAGGCGGCACUGUACGAAUACCGAGUCGUCGCCACGCCGCCCCCAAAUCUUGAUCGUUCGUUUUAGGAUAGAAUCGUCGACCUUGCAGUCGCGAUCUAGGGUCUGAUCUCUCACUCAACUCGUUGCCCUGGUCGUCUCCUACCACCACCGUCGAGGAAAGGGGUUCUUCGAUUCCUAUGUCUGGCGCUGUGGAACCAUCGGAGUCGCAUCCUCCGUACUCUCCCUCCCACGAGGAGUACAACCCUGAGCUGCCGGUUGCUCUUCCGGAGGAUAGUGAUGGCACUCCGCACUUGUGAGAAUUUGAGACCUUUUGUGAAAUUUUGAGAUCUUUCUCAAGCUCCCUUCUUUGGUCUUGUUUCUUUUUCCUUGUUGUUGUCCUUUUUCUUGCCAUUAUAUUCGAGUCCCAAAUCAGUAAUAUAAAUUGAUUAAUCAAUACCAAACUUGCAUCGUGGUCUAAUUGCAUGCCAGAGAUGAUCUCUCUUCUUUUCCUUUUGCCGCUUUAUCUUUCCCUUUCUUUUUUACCGUCACUGCCUGUUGCAAAUUUCAGACAUUCCUGGCCAUGUUUGUGGCUCAAAGAUCCCAAAAGCCAGCUUGGACUCGUCAAUGGCCACCUCCACAUCUCAGAUGCCCUCCACGCCCCCUCUCUCUUUUCCUCAGAGCAAACGUUGAUCCUUGAGCUCGGCACAAUCCCCUCCUCCUCGAUCCUUUCGUUGCCUUGUUCCUAGAAUCAUCCUCUGCUUAUUGCAACCUAGGAGUUUGUAUGGAGACUAUAGAGCUAAAGGUGGACAUGGUUGCAUUACAUGAGAAGAGAUUGAGGAAAUGUUUGUCCAAAGUGAAAGGCUCCUUGACAACAAGAUGCCAAAUAAUGUGGUUACUAUGUGAUGCGAUUUAUGAGACAAAUUGUUGAAGAAGUUGAAAUUAUUGAAAGAGAUUCACUACGAUCUAUAUUCACACAAGCAGAGUAUUCUCGAGAAGAAAUUGAUGAGGUGCGAUCGGAGUUGGCAGAAUGUAUACAAGAUCAUAUUUAUGAGUAGUCACUUGGAUUAUGACUAGGCAUGGAUGACAAAUAAUCGAGUCUACUUAGCCCAAGUCCAAACUUGAAUCAUGCCAAUUCAUACAGACCGAAAAGUGAAGUGUGCCUGAUCAAAAGAAAACAUAAUUUCUUUAUCUGUGUUGCAAUCCUCUGAAGAAUAUUAAUGUCCAAACCAGAACAUUAGCAAUCGGUUUGAGUUGCAAAGCGUGAACGCACCACCAGACCACAAGGCCCCACUGUCUGCCAGAUUUGGCUCAGCUUUAAGCUUCGGCACGCGUUUGAUUCUACCUUUUCUCCUUCACGCUUGUUCUGCUUUGGUACAGUGGAGUUGGUGUGCCACACUGAUAUAUUCUAUUCUAUGGUUGUGAAUGAUGAGUGAUGAAUAUCAAAUAUAUGCAACUCUGUACGUCCAAAGCAUUUGAAGGCCCUAGCACCAGUGCACAUUAAUACUAAGUUUAUCAAGCUGGAUGCUGAAAAUGCACUAUAUUUUUCGUGACGAAAUUGGCAAUCAAAACACUGUCCUGUGUUAUUUUAUUCAGGAAUGGCAUUGCCUUUGAUAGGAUAGUCGGCUUUCAAGAUCUUGGAAGCAAAGAUGAUUUUACUGCCAGAGCUUUAGAAAAUCUUCUUAAAAGAAAAGGCAAGCACUUUCUACUUGCUUCUUCUUACACGUAUGCUGGUCGUUAUCUAACAUGAUUCUUUUUCUAGGAAUUAUUAAAUGUAUCAAGAAAACUGCAUAAAUAAAAAAAAACAAGUGUAACUUUCAAAUGCAAGGAUCGGAUUGGAUUGGAGGGAGGAUUAACAAGAAGAACAUCUAUGUGUACCUGCUAAGAGCUGCAGAAUCUGGAUGAAUACCACCACUAUAAUUGUGAUUUGAGUAAUGAAAGCCCUUUGGUAGUGGUCUCCUAUGCAAAAUGCAAAGUGUAUCUCACUAUAGGGGAGGAAGUAAACUUGGGAGAGCAUGUGCUUGCCUCUUAGUAGAUCAAAGAACAAGCUGCAUGAGAUCAGUUUAAUAAAGCAGUCAGAUAGCUACAUGCAAUUUGAAAACUAUUUUACAUCAAGGAUCUGAAAAUCUUCAUUAAGAUUAGUGUAAAUUUUGUUUCUUUUGGUAGAAUGUCAUGAUGAUUGUUUUGUUUCUUUUGAGAGCCAUCAGUAAUGCUCAUAUAUGAA
This is a long non-coding RNA of Zingiber officinale, 2397 nucleotides long. RefSeq lists it as uncharacterized. Lineage: Eukaryota; Viridiplantae; Streptophyta; Magnoliopsida; Zingiberales; Zingiberaceae. The record is from RefSeq and is a predicted model, not a curated record. The transcript is spliced from 11 exons.